RNAcentral lists this ribosomal RNA (253 nucleotides) under uncultured bacterium. Its description in RNAcentral is "partial 16S ribosomal RNA". It matches the Rfam family "Bacterial small subunit ribosomal RNA", at positions 524 to 776 of the family's 1533-position model. The record is from RNAcentral.
UACGAAGGGGGCUAGCGUUGCUCGGAAUCACUGGGCGUAAAGCGCACGUAGGCGGCUUUCUAAGUCAGGGGUGAAAUCCUGGAGCUCAACUCCAGAACUGCCUUUGAUACUGGAGAGCUUGAGUCCGGGAGAGGUGAGUGGAACUCCGAGUGUAGAGGUGAAAUUCGUAGAUAUUCGGAAGAACACCAGUGGCGAAGGCGGCUCACUGGCCCGGUACUGACGCUGAUGUGCGAAAGCGUGGGGAGCAAACAGG